Felis catus (domestic cat) is the source of this 2940-nucleotide long non-coding RNA. RefSeq lists it as uncharacterized. The record is from RefSeq and is a predicted model, not a curated record. The transcript has 9 exons. Lineage: Eukaryota; Metazoa; Chordata; Mammalia; Carnivora; Felidae.
UAAUCCAUUUAAAAUAACAAUGAUGGAGAAUUGUCAUAAAAUUUUCAAUCCAGGUUAAAUUUUUUCUCCAAAAGAGCAUUAUGUUUAUAAGAUUAAAAACAAAUAAUUCAAGCUCUAAAAGUUACUUUUCCCUACAAAAAAACUAUUGUGAAAUUCUAUUUUUUUUUCAAAGCAGAGACUAACAAAAGCAGGGGGAAGGUAGGAAAGGAACAGAAAAGUGGAUUUAAGAGAUAAUGUAUUGCAUUUAAAGAAUUUGAAUGCCAUUACUUUUCAUCACUUAACUUUUCAAAGAACACUUUCAGCUUCCUUAUUUGCAUGUUUCAUUGUUUUCCAGCCUUUAAGCACUGUAUGUUUAAAAUGCAAAUGGAAUGAUAUAAGAAUAAUGAGAAGUAAUACUUGGAAAUGUUCUGUGAAAAUGUUGAAAGAGGGCCUGGUUUCCAUCUGAUUGAAAGGAGGUGAGGCUUGAGAGAGCAAUCAGACUGGAUAUAUUUUACCUUAAGGUCUAACUAGUAGCCCAUUGCUAGCCCUCUUUCUCUUGUGUACUGUUGAAAAUUAGUUAACAUUUCCUUUUUCAUGACUCUCUUAUUAUUUAUCUAUUUCUCUUAUUCUUCACAUUAGGUACCUAUCAAUCAGUUAACCUCAAUUCAAUGAACAUUUAUUGAGCACUUAUUAACUAGUCAUUGUCAUCUCUGGAAUGUAGAAUCAAUAGUUCUCUAUUAAGAGAAGCAGGGUUUGGAUAAGGGACAAACAUGGGGAAACAUUUGUCAGCCUCCUGCUCCACCCCUUUUGGUAUCUGACUCUCCACUGGAUGGGCUAAAAAAUCAGACGUCUUGGGUUGGAGUCCUGCAUUGCCAUUUCUCAAACAUGCUACUUACCUUCUCUGAGCCUCCAUCUCCUCACCUGUAAAAGGGAAUGAUAACAUCUUUGGUGGCUGUGAUGACUGAAACAAUACAAAUAAGAUGCUUAUAGCAAUAGCGCAGAUGAUCUCUUUCCUUUGGUUUGUGAUGCAACAAAGAAAGUGUGGGGUGACCAGACAUCAUAGUUUGCCUGAGACUGAUGAAUUUCCUGGGACAUGGUUCUGUCAGUUUUAAAAUGGAAUGGUGCCAGACAAAUCUGGAUGAAGUUGUCAGCCUAGAGACAGAAGGAUGUGUAUUCAGUUAGUCUUAAUCCCAACUUGAAUAAAUCAAAUUACAUGCUGGAAGAACAAAGUUAUACUGGGGCAUAGAGCAGAGCAUAGCAAAUUCCGUCACAAAGAAGAAGGAAAGAGCAUGUCAUACAGAGGGAGCUGAAGAAGCAAAGGCAUGGAGAUGAGAAACCUGAGGCACAGAGUCACUAGCCACUUUCCCAAGAUCCCACAGUUGGGCAGCGAUGGAGCAAGAAUUUGAACCCAGGCAGUGUACCUCCAAAGCCCCGGCUCUUAGCCCCAUCCCCUAUGUUCUACACUAACAGCUUUAAUUCCUAUUUUGCUAACCCUAGCAUCUAACUACUAUUGCAGAAACUCCAGUCUCCAGCAAAGUACCCACUGAUCCCACCCUCAAUUAUUUCUGGGAAUUCCCAGAGAUUGCUGUGCUUCUAGAAACAUAUUCUAUCUUCAGAAUCAAACUGGCGUCAGUGCUGAGAUCUAAGCCACAAGCUCAUGCUAGGAGAAAUAUUCUUACCUUGAAAAAACACAUACAAUUUAUUAAAUCAAAGAAAUCAGCAACAGCUGUGUGGAAGAUAAAGAUAAAGAAGAAAUAAUUUGUGGAAGAAAUAUUUUGGGACAGUACACUUUCCUCCUCUGGCAACUUUCCCUUAAUACAUACAAAAGAAAGAAAUGGGUCAGCAUCCCCACUCCGGAAUGGUUGCGUAAGCAAGAGGAGUCUUUUAAAGCUUGUGCCAAGACUCUGAGCAGUUUCAUUCAUCUCGCAUUUACUGCUUUUACUGCUGGGCUCUGGGACUACAGUCCCUCCCUCUUGGAAUAUACAGUCUAGAGAAAGAAAGAGACAAGUAAACAGUAAAUGAGGCCUAACUUCUGGAAUGCCAAGGAAAGCCUCACAGGAAGGAGUCUUGCUGGAGACUUUCUGCUGUGAAACCACCCAAGGAGGGUGCUGGGUGAUUGGCCCUGACCCACCUGUCAGGAAAGAGGGAUUUGGACACUAUGUUGCCACAUGAUUGACGAGAUGGUAUAUGAAGAAGUCCCGUUCCAGUUGAAUAGGUUUGCAGAUCUUUCGGUGUGUGAGGACCUCAGACUGAUAAGCAUAAGGCUAAGAAAGGAUACUUCUAAGAGCAGCCACUGAAGGAUACUCAAGAAGCUUCACACUUCAUAAAAGACGGGACAUUUUAACAACAAAAUAUUGGGGAAACCUCGGUCUCAGAAUUACUCGAGUCAAUAUUCACAGUUAAUCGAAUGGAGGAAAGAACACUUUUCUUUUUGGAAUAAGACUCAAGAGUGAAUCCCAGCUCUGCCAAUUAUUCCUUAUAUGACACUGGCUGAGAUAAUUAAUAUUUCUGAGCCUCACAAAUAAAAUCACGCAAUGAAAUCGUGCAGCCCACAUGGUUUUCAGAAUGCAACCAAUGAGUAGUUUUACAUUCCUAUGCUGUUUAGUACAUAGUAGGUGCUCAAAAAUAUCCAUUCCCUCCCUCCCACACCCUUUCCCCCCUACUCAUUUUACUCACCUCAGAGGAUUGCUGUGAUGAUUGAGUAAGACAAUAACAAGAGAAUGUUUGGUGAACCGUAAGGCAUUAUUUAAAUGUAAGUUUCAUGAGACAGAAGGUGCUUUGCUUUAAGCACAUGCAUUUUCCUUUUCAUAAGGUGUGUAAUACGUGGUGCAGGAACCCUCAGGAAAAAAAAAAAACAAAAACUAGUGCCUUGUCUGAUGCCUCCAAGACUCACAUAGCCCCUGGAUGAAACUGUAUAUAAAAUGUAGAUGUUAUUUUAAUAAAUACUGUCCACAUAGUGAA